RNAcentral lists this ribosomal RNA (446 nucleotides) under uncultured bacterium. RNAcentral describes it as "partial 16S ribosomal RNA". It matches the Rfam family "Bacterial small subunit ribosomal RNA", at positions 338 to 795 of the family's 1533-position model. The record is from RNAcentral.
GCUACGGGUGGCAGCAGUCGAGAAUCAUUCACAAUGGGGGAAACCCUGAUGGGGCGACGCCGCGUGGGGGAAUGAAGGUCUGCGGAUUGUAAACCCCUGUCAUGUGGGAGCAAAUUAAAAAGAUAGUACCACAAGAGGAAGAGACGGCUAACUCUGUGCCAGCAGCCGCGGUAAUACAGAGGUCUCAAGCGUUGUUCGGAAUUACUGGGCGUAAAGCGCUCGUAGGCGGUAUGUCAAGUCAAGGGUGAAAUCCCCGCGCUCAACGUGGGAACUUCCUUUGAAACUGGCAAACUGGAGUGUGUGAUAGGAUAGUGGAAUUCCAGGUGUAGGCGUGAAAUCCGUAGAUAUCUGGAGUAACAUCAGUGGCGAAGGCGACUCUCUGGCACAUAACUGACGCUGAGGAGCGAAAGCGUGGGUAGCAAACAGGAUUAGAUACCCUUGUAGUC